UUUCCGUAGGUGAACCUGCGGAAGGAUCAUUCAUAAUAAGUGUUUUAUGGCACUUUUUUAAAUCCAUAUCCACCUUGUGUGCAGUGUCAGGGUUGAUUUUUCUCUCGAGAGGAUCAACCCCAAACAUCAACUAUAUCUCAACUCUUUGUCUGAAAAAUAUUAUGAAUAAAACAAUUCAAAAUACAACUUUCAACAACGGAUCUCUUGGCUCUC
Molecule: unclassified non-coding RNA, 213 nt
Filed under: plant metagenome
Description: partial contains small subunit ribosomal RNA, internal transcribed spacer 1, and 5.8S ribosomal RNA
Source: RNAcentral